UGGGGAAUUUUGGACAAUGGGCGCAAGCCUGAUCCAGCAAUGCCGCGUGCAGGAUGAAGGCCUUCGGGUUGUAAACUGCUUUUGUACGGAGCGAAAGGUCUGCCCUAAUACGGUGGGCUCAUGACGGUACCGUAAGAAUAAGCACCGGCUAACUACGUGCCAGCAGCCGCGGUAAUACGUAGGGUGCGAGCGUUCAUCGGAAUUACUGGGCGUAAAGCGUGCGCAGGCGGUUAUAUAAGACAGAUGUGAAAUCCCCGGGCUCAACCUGGGAACUGCCUUUGUGACUGCAUAGCUAGAGUACGGUAGAGGGGGAUGGAAUUCCGCGUGUAGCAGUGAAAUGCGUAGAUAUGCGGAGGAACACCGAUGGCGAAGGCAAUCCCCUGGACCUGUACUGACGCUCAUGCACGAAAGCGUGGGGAGCAAACA
Molecule: ribosomal RNA, 426 nt
Filed under: uncultured bacterium
Lineage: Bacteria
Description: bacterial SSU rRNA
Rfam family: Bacterial small subunit ribosomal RNA
Source: RNAcentral